RNAcentral lists this ribosomal RNA (253 nucleotides) under uncultured bacterium. RNAcentral describes it as "partial 16S ribosomal RNA". It matches the Rfam family "Bacterial small subunit ribosomal RNA", at positions 524 to 776 of the family's 1533-position model. The record is from RNAcentral.
UACAGGGGGGGCAAGCGUUGUCCGGAAUCACUGGGCGUAAAGCGCGUGUAGGCGGCUCGCUAAGUCUGUGGUGAAAGCGCCUGGCUUAACCGGGCGAGGUCCAUGGAAACUAACGGUCUGGAGGCCGGUAGAGGGGGGUGGAAUUCCGGGUGUAGUGGUGAAAUGCGUAGAGAUCCGGAGGAACACCAGUGGCGAAGGCGGCCCCCUGGGCCGCGCCUGACGCUGAGACGCGAAAGCGCGGGGAGCGAACAGG